GACAGAGGAUGCAAGCGUUAUCCGGAAUGAUUGGGCGUAAAGCGUCUGUAGGUGGCUUUUCAAGUCCGCCGUCAAAUCCCAGGGCUCAACUCUGGACAGGCGGUGGAAACUACCAAGCUGGAGUACGGUAGGGGCAGAGGGAAUUUCCGGUGGAGCGGUGAAAUGCGCAGAUAUCAGGAGGAACACCGGUGGCGAAGGCGGGUCUCUGGGCCGAUAUCGACGCUGAGGAGCGAAAGCGUGGGGAGCGAACAGG
RNAcentral lists this ribosomal RNA (253 nucleotides) under uncultured bacterium. Its description in RNAcentral is "partial 16S ribosomal RNA". It matches the Rfam family "Bacterial small subunit ribosomal RNA", at positions 524 to 776 of the family's 1533-position model. The record is from RNAcentral.